RNAcentral lists this ribosomal RNA (477 nucleotides) under Anticheta brevipennis. RNAcentral describes it as "partial 16S ribosomal RNA". It matches the Rfam family "Bacterial large subunit ribosomal RNA", at positions 1829 to 2567 of the family's 2925-position model. The record is from RNAcentral. Lineage: Eukaryota; Metazoa; Arthropoda; Insecta; Diptera; Sciomyzidae.
UCUUUUUGAAUUAAAUAUAAAGUCUAACCUGCCCACUGAAUUUUAAAUGGCCGCAGUACUCUAACUGUGCAAAGGUAGCAUAAUAAUUUGUCUUUUAAUUGAAGGCUGGAAUGAAUGGUUGGACGAGAUAUUAACUGUUUCAUUUAAAAUAUUUUAGAAUUUUAUUUUUUAGUGAAAAAGCUAAAAUUUUUUUAAAAGACGAGAAGACCCUAUAAAGCUUUAUAUUUUUAAAAGAAUAAAAAUAAAGAUUUAGAUUGUUAUUUUUUGAGUAAAUAUUUUAUUGGGGUGAUGUUAAAAUUUAAUAAACUUUUAAUUUUUUUUUUCAAUUAUUUUUGGUUUUUUGAUCCACUUUUUGUGAUUAGAAAUUCAAGUUACUUUAGGGAUAACAGCGUAAUUAUUUUGGAGAGUUCAUAUCGAUAAAAUAGGUUGCGACCUCGAUGUUGGAUUAAGGUAUAUAAUUAGGUGCAGCAGUUUACA